This 68-nucleotide transfer RNA is filed under the name Notophthalmus viridescens (eastern newt). Its description in RNAcentral is "tRNA-Thr". It matches the Rfam family "tRNA". From Rfam's summary of the family: Transfer RNA (tRNA) molecules are approximately 80 nucleotides in length. Their secondary structure includes four short double-helical elements and three loops (D, anti-codon, and T loops). Lineage: Eukaryota; Metazoa; Chordata; Amphibia; Caudata; Salamandridae. The record is from RNAcentral.
GCCCGAAUAGUUUAAACAAAACAUCGGUCUUGUAAGCCGAAACUGAAGGCUAAUCCCUUUUUCGGGCC